GACGAACGCUGGCGGCGUGCCUAAUACAUGCAAGUUGAGCGAUGAAGAUUGGUGCUUGCACCAAUUUGAAGAGCAGCGAACGGGUGAGUAACGCGUGGGGAAUCUGCCUUUGAGCGGGGGACAACAUUUGGAGACGAAUGCUAAUACCGCAUAACAACUUUAAACAUAAGUUUUAAGUUUGAAAGAUGCAAUUGCAUCACUCAAAGAUGAUCCCGCGUUGUAUUAGCUAGUUGGUGAGGUAAAGGCUCACCAAGGCGAUGAUACAUAGCCGACCUGAGAGGGUGAUCGGCCACAUUGGGACUGAGACACGGCCCAAACUCCUACGGGAGGCAGCAGUUGGGAAUCUUCGGCAAUGGACGAAAGUCUGACCGAGCAACGCCGCGUGAGUGAAGAAGGUUUUCGGAUCGUAAAACUCUGUUGGUAGAGAAGAACGUUGGUGAGAGUGGAAAGCUCAUCAAGUGACGGUAACUACCCAGAAAGGGACGGCUAACUACGUG
This 497-nucleotide ribosomal RNA is filed under the name uncultured bacterium. Its description in RNAcentral is "partial 16S ribosomal RNA". It matches the Rfam family "Bacterial small subunit ribosomal RNA", at positions 28 to 507 of the family's 1533-position model. The record is from RNAcentral.